RNAcentral lists this unclassified non-coding RNA (645 nucleotides) under Hevea brasiliensis (rubber tree). Lineage: Eukaryota; Viridiplantae; Streptophyta; Magnoliopsida; Malpighiales; Euphorbiaceae. The record is from RNAcentral.
GUUAGGGUUUGCAAGUACAUGAUCCAAAUUCUGGGCAUUUUAUGCAUAGUAACCAAUGCUCUUUCAAAUGUAUUGUUCAGGGUUUCAUACUGGGAGUGAGUGACCGGUAGGUUUCUAACGAUUUCGAGACGCUCAGUAAGAUAUGCAUGCCAAAGCUUGUAGCUCCCUGGUAAAGCUCUGAGGGCUCUCUCAUAGAUGAUGAACCGCUUUUUGAAAGGUGCUUCACGGCGGGCUAUUAGGUAGCGCCACCAGAGCUUGAGGCUGAAUGGGUUGCGCAACAGCUCCUCUUCGUAUAAUAGAUCAUCUUGGGAAGGGUAAAGCUCUCUAGAAAUUGACAUCUCUGAGCGGAAGUAGAAGAAUUUUUAUGGACAUAAACCUCCUAAUAUCACACACAGAGACAAACAGAGUGAUUCUUGUGAACUCCUAAUCGACGGAAAAAUGAUUUGCCGAACUGUGAAUUUCAAAAUAAAACCCCAAACCUCUCAGUAGCGAGCACAAACAAAUAAGCACCAAUGAGCUGCUAAAACUUUGCUCUGACUGAAAUUUUGCAGUGAAAUCUGAAUCAAUACGAUCGAGAUGAGGAAACCAAGUUCCCAAAUUCUAUUCGGCCAGAAACUGAAUUUUCUGUAUCUUUUCCUGUUAAAC